This 407-nucleotide ribosomal RNA is filed under the name uncultured bacterium. RNAcentral's name for it is "partial 16S ribosomal RNA". It matches the Rfam family "Bacterial small subunit ribosomal RNA", at positions 30 to 526 of the family's 1533-position model. The record is from RNAcentral.
AUUGAACGCUGGCGGCAGGCCUAACACAUGCAAGUCGAGCGGAGCGGCGGACGGGUGAGUAAUGCCUAGUCAUCUGCAUGGUAGUGGGGGAUAACGUCCGGAAACGGGCGCUAAUACCGCAUCCUAUCAGAUGAGCCUAGGUCGGCUUCGCUAGUUGGGGGGGUAAAGGCCUACCAAGGCGCCGAUCCGUAACUGGUUUGAGAGGAUGAUCAGUCACACUGGAACGGAGACACGGUCCAGACUCCUACGGGAGGCAGCAGUGGGGAGUAUUGGACGAUGGGCGAAAGCCUGAUCCAGCCAUGCCGCGUGUGUGAAGAAGGUCUUCGGAUUGUAAAGCACUUUAAGUUGGGAGGCGUUACCAACAGAAUGAGCACCGGCUAACUUCGUGCCAGCAGCCGCGGUAAUAC